CCGCCUGGGAAGUACGUACGCAAGUAUGAAACUUAAAGGAAUUGGCGGGGGAGCACCACGAGGGGUGAAGCCUGCGGUUCAAUUGGAGUNNNCGCCAGAAAUCUUACCUGGGGAGACAGCAGAAUGAAGGUCAAGCUGAAGACUUUACCAGACACGCUGAGAGGUGGUGCAUGGCCGUCGCCAGCUCGUGCCGUGAGAUGUCCUGUUAAGUCAGGUAACGAGCGAGACCCCUGCGUCUAGUUGCUACCAUUACUCUCUGGAGCAGUGGAGCGAAUUAGACGGACCGCCACAGUUAAUGUGGAGGAAGGAAGGGGCCACGGCAGGUCAGUAUGCCCCGAAACCCUAGGGC
RNAcentral lists this ribosomal RNA (349 nucleotides) under uncultured archaeon. Its description in RNAcentral is "bacterial SSU rRNA". It matches the Rfam family "Archaeal small subunit ribosomal RNA", at positions 824 to 1170 of the family's 1478-position model. The record is from RNAcentral.